GGGACGUUUAAUAUAUUUCUGAAACAGUCAGAUCAGAGCUCUGAACGACUUCUUCCAGAAUGGAACAUACCAUUAUCUGGAGUUUAUUAAUUGUAGUUACCAUUCAUGGAGUUUGGAGUGAGAUCAAACUGGACCAGUCUCCCUCUGAGGUGAAAAGACCUGGAGAGACAGUGAAGAUGUCAUGUAUCAUAUCUGGUUAUAGCAUGACA
Molecule: long non-coding RNA, 209 nt
Organism: Etheostoma spectabile (orangethroat darter)
Lineage: Eukaryota; Metazoa; Chordata; Actinopteri; Perciformes; Percidae
Exons: 2
Source: RefSeq, a predicted model, not a curated record